GUGGUGGUGGCGGUGGUGGUGGUGUAACAUCAAGAAAUGCUAGCAGCAAUAAAUGCAAAAAGGAAGUCAAGAAAGACAAGGCUGAAGUGGCACAUAGGGUUGCAUUUAGAACCAAAUCGGAUUUGGAGAUCAUGGAUGAUGGAUUUAAGUGGAGGAAGUACGGCAAGAAAUCAGUCAAGAACAGCCCUAAUCCGAGGAACUACUAUAAAUGUUCAACUGGUGGAUGCAAUGUAAAGAAAAGAGUAGAAAGGGACAGAGAAGACUCAAGAUAUGUGAUAACAACUUAUGAUGGUGUCCACAACCAUGAAAGCCCUUGUGUGGUGUACUACAAUCAGAUGCCUCUCAUGGUCCCAGAUGGCUGGACUUUGCAAGCUUCUUCUUCUUCUCCUCAUCACUCUUCUUCCUCUUCAUAAGCUUUAUUUCUAUUUACACUUUCCCUCUUUAGUCAUCAUCACCAUCAUCAUGUUAAUUAAUUCUCUCUUGUUAUACCAUCAGAACUCUGCUUGCUUAAUGUAAUUUUAUAUGAGCUUACAUCAUUUUGAUCUAUGGUAUACUGAUGACUACUAUUACUAUUAUGUUCACCCUCUUACCCCCCUCCCAACCAACCCCCCAAUGGGCUGGCCCACAUAAGAUAAUAAGAAUUGCCAUUGCACUGGGCUGGCCUGGGCCAGUAAAUAAAGCUCACUUGCUCAUAAGGUCAUAGCCCUGGCUCAGAAUAAACAGAGAUAUGAAUAAAGAGCCACCUUUGAUCUCU
RNAcentral lists this unclassified non-coding RNA (754 nucleotides) under Hevea brasiliensis (rubber tree). Lineage: Eukaryota; Viridiplantae; Streptophyta; Magnoliopsida; Malpighiales; Euphorbiaceae. The record is from RNAcentral.